This 253-nucleotide ribosomal RNA is filed under the name uncultured bacterium. Its description in RNAcentral is "partial 16S ribosomal RNA". It matches the Rfam family "Bacterial small subunit ribosomal RNA", at positions 524 to 776 of the family's 1533-position model. The record is from RNAcentral.
UACGUAGGGUGCAAGCGUUGUCCGGAAUUAUUGGGCGUAAAGAGCUCGUAGGCGGUUUGUCGCGUCGGCUGUGAAAACCCGAGGCUCAACCUCGGGCCUGCAGUCGAUACGGGCAAACUAGAGUGCGGUAGGGGAGACUGGAAUUCCUGGUGUAGCGGUGAAAUGCGUAGAUAUCAAGUGGAACACCAGUGGCGAAGGCGAGUCUCCGGACAUUUCCUGAUGCUGAGGCACGAAAGCCAGGGGAGCAAACGGG